CACUACAGAAGCUAAACUGGACAGCACUAGCCUUUUAAGCUAGAGAAGAGAAAUGACCAACUCUCCUUAGUGA
Molecule: transfer RNA, 73 nt
Filed under: Trionyx triunguis (African softshell turtle)
Lineage: Eukaryota; Metazoa; Chordata; Testudines; Trionychidae
Description: tRNA-Lys
Source: RNAcentral